ACGUUUCAACAGGUGGAAUAAAAAUCACGGAAGAAAGGAGUCAAACCGCCAACUGAUGGAGUUAAGGAGACCCUCAGUUGUGAGAAUGCACCCACAGCUCCGAGAACCUGAUGCAGAUAUUCGUUGAGUCCCUAUUGUAUGCCGUGUGCUGUGCAUUCCAUGAUGAACCCAAACCAUGAGCUGACAGUCUAGCAGAAAAGAGCAACAGGUAGUGAGUGGCCACAGGAGGCGUGUCAAUGGACUGUGGUUCAGUUUAGCAAAGUGGAAACGCUGAGCGAGGUCUGAAGUGAGGGACCGGAGAUGACUUUGGCCUGUGGACGCUGCACUGCCCACGAGACAUCCAGAUGCAGACAUCAAGGAAACAACUGGACCCAUGAAUCUAGAACUAAGAGAUCAAGAAGCCUCAUUAACAAUGCGCAGACGCUUCCCCCACAUGCGCCAGCAGGUCCUGAAGACUUUCACCAACGCCGCGGCGCUUCUGCCUCUGGACCAUGGGGAACCUGCCAGGACGAGGAAGCACUCUGCCCCAACUCACGCUUUCCCAUGAGAAUGCAUCGUCCUCCAGACACAGGAAAUGUGUCCUCAUGACACCAAGGCCCCCCCCGAAAUCCUGGAGGGCAAAAUCAUUGCGAAUCACCGAUGAACCAAGACCUGUCAGACUUGGGCGCGCUGCUUGCCGCUGAGCUGGAUGGUCUGAAAUGAGGAGACAUGAAGAAAAGACCCGCCUUUAUCUUCUCUGUCUGAUGAAACUGCAAGUUUGCACGUCGCCCUUGGUGGAAAGAGCAGACUCAUGGCUAAUUAUCCAAACGCGGCGCGCCAGUGUUGGCUGCCUGGCCCCUUGUGUCAAUAUGCUACUGAGGCCGGGGGCUGGAGUACGUUUCUGAAGCUGAUGUCUGGAACCUCCUACUUUAAUGAGGAAAGACAGAAGAAAUUUUCUGCUGUUAAAAAAGGUCUCUUCUCGGGCUUCCCUGGUGGCGCAGUGGUUGAGAGUCCGCCUGGUAAUGCAGGGGACAUGGGUUCGAGCCCUGGUCCGGGAAGAUCCCACAUGCCGCGGAGCAACUAGGCCCGUGAGCCACAACUACUGAGCCUGUGCGUCUGGAGCCUCUGCUCCGCAACAAGAGAGGCUGCGAUAGUGAGAGGCCCGCGCACCGCGAUGAAGAGUGGCCCCUGCUCGCUGCAACUAGAGAGCGCCCUCGCACAGAAACGAAGACCCAACACAGCCAAAAAAAAUAAAUAAAUAAAUUUAAAUCAUGUGGGCUUCUAAGAAGACCUCUGCUUAAAAAAAAAAUAAGUGGACGGUUCACAUACACAUUAGCAGUAACUUGGGUACUUUCAUCCAUUGAAAAAUAAAUUCAAUGUAGAAAAAAAGUAAAGUUAAGAUGCAUCAGGGCAAACUUAAUGGUGUGUUCUAAGCUCUCAAGUGUGUUUCUCUCAGGCAGAAGGCAUUCCUUCACUCGCCAUUGGCUGUUACACAAGACCACUGAGAACUGGCCAAUUUAUCCCCACUCCCCACAAAUCACAUCUCCCUCCCCCUAAAACACAUUAUUUCUAUUCAUAGAAACAUUCCUAGUUGCUAUAGCACAGUGUGAAAUCUUCAGUUUGGCCUCAGAUGCCUUUUACCUGUUAAAACCCUGAGAUCAACCCUCAUUGCCACCGGAGGAGCUUUUCUGCUACAGAUCAAGAAAAGGAAGGGGCUCUUGAGGCAGCAGAAUGCCAAGUCAGGCCACCACACUACUGAAGACGCUUUCUAUGAGCAUGUGGACAAACAACCGUCCUAAAUGCUAAACCAAAUCAAAGAAGAGCACCUCACCUGUUUGUGCAUGAGACGGAUGACGUGAAGAGAAGCGCCUAACACUCCCUGGGAGAGCCAGGGGUAGUGAUUCCUCCAGGGAAAUAUGGUAACUGGCUGCAGGCCUCACGGAGUCUUUGAAAUUCACUGCUUCAGCGAUCCUUGGAAAUAAAAGGGACAUUAUUACAAAACGGUAAAGGAAGGCAUUCAGCUAGAAGAUGGGUUUGAAAUUUAAUAUUAAACUUCAAAUUAUUGAGACAGUGAUCUUUUUUGGAAGAAUUUUUUUUUUUUUUUUUUUUUUUUGCAGUACGCGGGCCUCUCACUGCUGAGGCCUCUCUCAUUGCAGAGCACAGGCUCCGGACGCGCAGGCCCAGCGGCCAUGGCUCACGGGCCCAGCCGCUCCGCAGCAUGUGGGAUCUUCCCAGACCGGGGCGCGAACUCCGGACUCCCAACCACUGCGCCACCAGGGAAGCCCCUAGAAGAAUUUUUCAAUUCUGUUACUGAACACUACUCUAUUUAAGACUUUAUUCUGCCACCUGUAGGGACUACCAAGAUAGCUGCAGUGUAAUCUUGGACCACAAAUAACAACCUAGUUGAGGCCCAGGAAGCUGUCAAAUAACAAAGACUCAAAACGACUGGGCAUAGACUCUCCCCAAUCCCACUUAAUCGCUGUGUAGCCUUGGGGAGAUCACUUACAUUGCCUGAACUUCAGUUUCCCUAAUUAUAAAAUGGUGCGAUAAACAGUAGCAUGGUGGAUGAGAGGAAGAAACAAGUUGUUUUCCUCCACACAUCUUAGCUUCCUCGGCUGGAGCCCUGGACGUCAGACUGACUAGACAGACUAACAGAAGAAAAACCAACAGAAGUUUAUUAACACGUGCGUCAGAGUCCUCGGCGAUGAGCAACCCAAAAGAGCCGUUAGUACCUGGGUUAGCACCUAGCCUCUUAACUGAAGGAAUGAUGAACUUUCGGAGAAGUGACAGCGCUUUGAGUUUCUAGGGUGGCAAACUGUGGAAGGCAGGCCCGUGGGGGGACUGAUGGAAGAGGAAGAAUAGUCAGUGAGUUUUGUUACGUAGAUUCCUCCUGGGAUGUCGCUAGGUGAUAAGGGUCUAGGUUUGUCUCUGGUUCUUCCUAGUUAGAAAGGGGAGCGGAAGACAACUUUAUAAGUGUAUGCCCCGCUUUUAGGAAACAGGUGGAGUCCAGAAAGCUUUUUUGGUGUCUGUUUCUUCAAGUCUGCCUUCAGGAUAAAAAACAAAACAAAAAACACGCCCCCCCCCAAAAAAAAAACCCAAAUAGAAACAAAACAAAAAACCAACCAAA
Long non-coding RNA from Orcinus orca (killer whale), 3106 nucleotides. RefSeq lists it as uncharacterized. The transcript is spliced from 5 exons. The record is from RefSeq and is a predicted model, not a curated record. Lineage: Eukaryota; Metazoa; Chordata; Mammalia; Artiodactyla; Delphinidae.